CUGGGGAACUGAAACAUCUCAGUACCCAGAGGAGAGGAAAGCGAAAGCGACUCCCUGAGUAGCGGCGAGCGAAAGGGGAAGAGCCUAAACCAUCUGGCUUGUCCGGGCGGGGUAGUGGGGCCCUCGGAUACCGAAUCCCCGACUCUAGCCGAAGCUGUUGGGAAGCAGCGCCAGAGAAGGUGAAAGCCCUGUAGGCGAAAGGGGAGGGGAUAGGUGAGGGUACCCGAGUACCCUGUGGUUCGUGGAGCCAUGGGGGAAUCUGGGCGGACCACCGCCUAAGUCUAAGUACUCCGGGUGACC
Molecule: ribosomal RNA, 300 nt
Filed under: Escherichia coli
Lineage: Bacteria; Pseudomonadati; Pseudomonadota; Gammaproteobacteria; Enterobacterales; Enterobacteriaceae
Description: partial 23S ribosomal RNA
Rfam family: Bacterial large subunit ribosomal RNA
Source: RNAcentral